AUCUACGGCCAUGCUACCCUGAGUGUGCCUGAUCCCGUCUGAUCUCAGAAGCUAAGCAGAGUUGGGCCUGGUUAGUACUUGGAUGGGAGACCACCCAGGAAGACCAGGUGAUGUAGGUG
RNAcentral lists this ribosomal RNA (119 nucleotides) under Pteropus alecto (black flying fox). Lineage: Eukaryota; Metazoa; Chordata; Mammalia; Chiroptera; Pteropodidae. The record is from RNAcentral.